AAUCGAUGAUGAAUGAAAAUUACACCAUCUUUCGACUGAAAUGAUGCUGAUGGAUAAAUUAUUAUCAACUGAUGAUU
This is a small nucleolar RNA of Ylistrum balloti, 77 nucleotides long. Lineage: Eukaryota; Metazoa; Mollusca; Bivalvia; Pectinida; Pectinidae. The record is from RefSeq and is a predicted model, not a curated record.